RNAcentral lists this ribosomal RNA (404 nucleotides) under uncultured bacterium. RNAcentral describes it as "bacterial SSU rRNA". It matches the Rfam family "Bacterial small subunit ribosomal RNA", at positions 355 to 776 of the family's 1533-position model. The record is from RNAcentral.
UGGGGAAUAUUGCACAAUGGGGGAAACCCUGAUGCAGCAACGCCGCGUGAGUGACGAAGGCCUUCGGGUUGUAAAACUCUGUCUUAGCUGACGAUAAUGACGGUAAGCUAGGAGGAAGCCACGGCUAACUACGUGCCAGCAGCCGCGGUAAUACGUAGGUGGCGAGCGUUGUCCGGAUUUACUGGGCGUAAAGGGAGCGUAGGUGGUUUUUUAAGUGGGAUGUGAAAUCCCUGGGCUUAACCCAGGAAUUGCAUUCCAAACUGGAAGACUAGAGUGCAGGAGAGGAAAGUGGAAUUCCAAGUGUAGCGGUGAAAUGCGUAGAGAUUUGGAGGAACCCCAGUGGCGAAGGCGACUUUCUGGACUGUAACUGACACUGAGGCUCGAGAGCGUGGGGAGCAAACAGG